AUUGAACGCUGGCGGCAGGCCUAACACAUGCAAGUCGAACGGUAACAGGAAACAGUUUGCUGUUUCGCUGUCGAGUGGCGGACGGGUGAGUCAUGUCUGGGAAACUGCUUGAUGGAGGGGGAUAACUACUGGAAACGGUAGCUAAUACCGCAUAACGUCGCAAGCCCAAAGAGGGGGACCUUCGGGCCUCUUGCCAUCGGCUGUGCCCAGAUGGGAUUAGCUAGUAGGUGGGGUAACGGCUCACCUAGGCGACGAUCCCUAGCUGGUCUGAGAGGAUGACCGGCCACACUGGAACUGAGACACGGUCCAGACUCCUACGGGAGGCAGCAGUGGGGAAUAUUGCACAAUGGGCGCAAGCCUGAUGCAGCCAUGCCGCGUGUAUGAAGAAGGCCUUCGGGUUGUAAAGUACUUUCAGCGGGGAUGAAGAGAGUAAAGUUAAUACCUUUACUCAUUGACGGUACCCGCAGAAGAAGCACCGGCUAACUCCGUG
Molecule: ribosomal RNA, 490 nt
Filed under: uncultured bacterium
Lineage: Bacteria
Description: partial 16S ribosomal RNA
Rfam family: Bacterial small subunit ribosomal RNA
Source: RNAcentral